RNAcentral lists this ribosomal RNA (429 nucleotides) under Gemmatimonadota bacterium. RNAcentral's name for it is "Gemmatimonadetes bacterium partial 16S ribosomal RNA". It matches the Rfam family "Bacterial small subunit ribosomal RNA", at positions 355 to 776 of the family's 1533-position model. Lineage: Bacteria; Pseudomonadati; Gemmatimonadota. The record is from RNAcentral.
UAGGGAAUCUUCGGCAAUGGACGAAAGUCUGACCGAGCAACGCCGCGUGAGUGAAGAAGGUUUUCGGAUCGUAAAACUCUGUUGUUAGAGAAGAACAAGGACGUUAGUAACUGAACGUCCCCUGACGGUAUCUAACCAGAAAGCCACGGCUAACUACGUGCCAGCAGCCGCGGUAAUACGUAGGUGGCAAGCGUUGUCCGGAUUUAUUGGGCGUAAAGCGAGCGCAGGCGGUUUCUUAAGUCUGAUGUGAAAGCCCCCGGCUCAACCGGGGAGGGUCAUUGGAAACUGGUAGACUUGCGUGCAGAAGAGGAGAGUGGAAUUCCAUGUGUAGCGGUGAAAUGCGUAGAUAUAUGGAGGAACACCAGUGGCGAAGGCGGCUCUCUGGUCUGUAACUGACGCUGAGGCUCGAAAGCGUGGGGAGCAAACAGG